This 497-nucleotide ribosomal RNA is filed under the name uncultured bacterium. RNAcentral's name for it is "partial 16S ribosomal RNA". It matches the Rfam family "Bacterial small subunit ribosomal RNA", at positions 28 to 507 of the family's 1533-position model. The record is from RNAcentral.
GACGAACGCUGGCGGCGUGCCUAAUACAUGCAAGUUGAGCGCUGAAGGUUGGUACUUGUCCUAACUGGAUGAGCAGCGAACGGGUGAGUAACGCGUGGGGAAUCUGCCUUUGAGCGGGGGACAACAUUUGGAAACGAAUGCUAAUACCGCAUAAAAACUUUAAACACAAGUUUUAAGUUUGAAAGAUGCAAUUGCAUCACUCAAAGAUGAUCCCGCGUUGUAUUAGCUAGUUGGUGAGGUAAAGGCUCACCAAGGCGAUGAUACAUAGCCGACCUGAGAGGGUGAUCGGCCACAUUGGGACUGAGACACGGCCCAAACUCCUACGGGAGGCAGCAGUAGGGAAUCUUCGGCAAUGGACGAAAGUCUGACCGAGCAACGCCGCGUGAGUGAAGAAGGUUUUCGGAUCGUAAAACUCUGUUGGUAGAGAAGAACGUUGGUGAGAGUGGAAAGCUCAUCAAGUGACGGUAACUACCCAGAAAGGGACGGCUAACUACGUG